This 88-nucleotide non-coding RNA is filed under the name unclassified sequences. RNAcentral's name for it is "L4-Archaeoglobi ribosomal protein leader". It matches the Rfam family "L4-Archaeoglobi ribosomal protein leades". The record is from RNAcentral.
CUGAUCAAGCCGCCUGGGUCGACGUUGGUGCAACGAGCCCUGUUCCUAUGGCCGAUGUAAUGCCCAUAGGAAGGUGGAUCACGGUCAG